This 289-nucleotide ribosomal RNA is filed under the name uncultured Rhodospirillaceae bacterium. RNAcentral's name for it is "partial 16S ribosomal RNA". The record is from RNAcentral. Lineage: Bacteria; Pseudomonadati; Pseudomonadota; Alphaproteobacteria; Rhodospirillales; Rhodospirillaceae.
CUACCGGGGUAUCUAAUCCUGUUUGCUCCCCACGCUUUCGCGCCUCAGCGUCAGUAUCGGUCCAGAGAGCCGCCUUCGCCACCGGUGUUCUUCCCAAUAUCUACGAAUUUCACCUCUACACUGGGAAUUCCACUCUCCUCUCCCGAACUCCAGCCCAUCAGUCCCAAGCGCAAUUCCCAGGUUAAGCCCGGGGCUUUCACGCCUGACUUGAUCGGCCGCCUGCGCGCCCUUUACGCCCAGUAAUUCCGAACAACGCUCGCCCCCUUCGUAUUACCGCGGCUGCUGGCAC